CCGUACGCGAAAAACCUUACCUGGGCUCGAACGACUGGUGUUAGUCCUGUAGAAAUACGGAUGACCGCAAGGAGGCGAGCCGGCCACGGUAGGGUCGAGCGACUGGGGUG
This 110-nucleotide ribosomal RNA is filed under the name uncultured bacterium. RNAcentral's name for it is "partial 16S ribosomal RNA". The record is from RNAcentral.